This 1427-nucleotide ribosomal RNA is filed under the name Bacillus sp. KT119. RNAcentral describes it as "bacterial SSU rRNA". It matches the Rfam family "Bacterial small subunit ribosomal RNA". The record is from RNAcentral. Lineage: Bacteria; Bacillati; Bacillota; Bacilli; Caryophanales; Bacillaceae.
CUAUACUGCAGUCGAGCGGACAGAAGGGAGCUUGCUCCCGGAUGUUAGCGGCGGACGGGUGAGUAACACGUGGGUAACCUGCCUGUAAGACUGGGAUAACUCCGGGAAACCGGAGCUAAUACCGGAUAGUUCCUUGAACCGCAUGGUUCAAGGAUGAAAGACGGUUUCGGCUGUCACUUACAGAUGGACCCGCGGCGCAUUAGCUAGUUGGUGAGGGAACGGCUCACCAAGGCGACGAUGCGUAGCCGACCUGAGAGGGUGAUCGGCCACACUGGGACUGAGACACGGCCCAGACUCCUACGGGAGGCAGCAGUAGGGAAUCUUCCGCAAUGGACGAAAGUCUGACGGAGCAACGCCGCGUGAGUGAUGAAGGUUUUCGGAUCGUAAAGCUCUGUUGUUAGGGAAGAACAAGUGCAAGAGUAACUGCUUGCACCUUGACGGUACCUAACCAGAAAGCCACGGCUAACUACGUGCCAGCAGCCGCGGUAAUACGUACGUGGCAAGCGUUGUCCGGAAUUAUUGGGCGUAAAGGGCUCGCAGGCGGUUUCUUAAGUCUGAUGUGAAAGCCCCCGGCUCAACCGGGGAGGGUCAUUGGAAACUGGGAAACUUGAUUGCAGAAGAGGAGAGUGGAAUUCCACGUGUAGCGGUGAAAUGCGUAGAGAUGUGGAGGAACACCAGUGGCGAAGGCGACUCUCUGGUCUGUAACUGACGCUGAGGAGCGAAAGCGUGGGGAGCGAACAGGAUUAGAUACCCUGGUAGUCCACGCCGUAAACGAUGAGUGUUAAGUGUUAGGGGGUUUCCGCCCCUUAGUGCUGCAGCUAACGCAUUAAGCACUCCGCCUGGGGAGUACGGUCGCAAGACUGAAACUCAAAGGAAUUGACGGGGGCCCGCACAAGCGGUGGAGCAUGUGGUUUAAUUGGAAGCAACGGGAAGACCCUUACCAGGUCUUGACAUCCUCUGACAACCCUAGAGAUAGGGCUUUCCCUUCGGGGACAGAGUGACAGGUGGUGCAUGGUUGUCGUCAGCUCGUGUCGUGAGAUGUUGGGUUAAGUCCCGCAACGAGCGCAACCCUUGAUCUUAGUUGCCAGCAUUCAGUUGGGCACUCUAAGGUGACUGCCGGUGACAAACCGGAGGAAGGUGGGGAUGACGUCAAAUCAUCAUGCCCCUUAUGACCUGGGCUACACACGUGCUACAAUGGACAGAACAAAGGGCUGCGAGACCGCAAGGUUUAGCCAAUCCCACAAAUCUGUUUUCAGUUCGGAUCGCAGUCUGCAACUUGACUGCGUGAAGCUGGAAUCGCUAGUAAUCGCGGAUCAGCAUGCCGCGGUGAAUACGUUCCCGGGCCUUGUACACCCCGCCCGUCACCCCACGAGAGUUUGCAACACCCGAAGUCGGUGAGGUAACCUCUAUGGAGCCAGCCGCCGAAG